ACGGAGGGUGCGAACGUUAAUCGGAAUCACUGGGCGUAAAGCGCGCGUAGGCGGUCUGUUAAGUGGGAUGUGAAAUCCCCGGGCUUAACCUGGGAAUUGCAUUUCAAACUGGCCGACUAGAGUACGGUAGAGGGAGGUAGAAUUUCCUGUGUAGCGGUGAAAUGCGUAGAUAUAGGAAGGAAUACCAGUGGCGAAGGCGGCCUCCUGGAUCGAUACUGACGCUGAGGCGCGAAAGCGUGGGGAGCAAACAGGAUUAGAUACCCUGGUAGUCCACGCCGUAAACGAUGAGAACUAGCCGUUGGACCCCUUGAGGGUUUAGUGGCGUAGCUAACGCGAUAAGUUCUCCGCCUGGGGAGUACGGCCGCAAGGCUA
This 372-nucleotide ribosomal RNA is filed under the name uncultured bacterium. RNAcentral's name for it is "bacterial SSU rRNA". It matches the Rfam family "Bacterial small subunit ribosomal RNA", at positions 525 to 896 of the family's 1533-position model. The record is from RNAcentral.